RNAcentral lists this long non-coding RNA (236 nucleotides) under Ananas comosus (pineapple). Its description in RNAcentral is "long non-coding RNA (ACOM_LNC029331)". Lineage: Eukaryota; Viridiplantae; Streptophyta; Magnoliopsida; Poales; Bromeliaceae. The record is from RNAcentral.
GUGUUCAACAUGUUUAAUAAAUGAGCUGAGCACGAGCUAACUCGUUAACAUAUCGAGCUGAAAUUAAAAUUCAGCUCGUGUUGGUACCCAAGUUCCCAAGCUCGAAUCCUAGUUAAUUCACAUUUCCAGCUAAGUUUAUUUCUAAAAGAAAUAAACGAAGCGGGUAGCAUGCUAUCUAUCUCUCAAAAAAAAAAUUCAGCUCGUGUUCGGAUUGUUUAUUAAUGAACCGAACACGA